GGGAUAAGCCCAGCACCGAAGCCUGUAGCCAUUUGGUUACUAGGCAAUGUAUGUGGUGUUUAGGUCGUUCCGUGGAUAUUCUGCUCCACCCUAAGUCCAUCAAUCAAUGAGUACGGUAUUAUGGACAUGGCCCAUAGAGGGUGAAAGGCCCGUGGGUGGGGUGGAGAUUCGGUAGGACAGAAUAUUCUUGGGUAGACCUUGGAGUCGGGCGGGUUGUUUGUGAAUGCAGCCCAAAGUGGGUGGUAAACUCCAUCCAAGGCUAGCUAAAUACUUGCACGAGUCCGAUAGCGAACAAGUACCGUGAGGAAAGUUGAAAGAAAAGUACUUUGAAGAGAGAGUAAACAGUGCGUGAAACCGCUCAGAGGUAAACAAACGGGUGGAGUUGAACUGCAAGCUCUGGGAAUUCAACUGGUGAGUGUGGUUUGUUUUAGCUUGGUAAAUUGGUGGACAUUGGGGGGGUGCGCGAUGCACUUAUCAAGUGUUGUGCGCCGCAGGCAGUGUCAUAUCCGACCAACUCGCAUGUGCACUUUCUCAGAGUGUUCACCAACCACGACCGGCGCCGCUGUCUGGCCUCUAUAGUUAAACCGGUUUUGCAUAGUCAGUCCUUGUGGCUUUGCUUAGUCGGGACGGCAGGUAGCUCGUUGACUUGCUUGUUUGUGGUUCGCUGCAAGCGUGGUUUUCGAGUGUAAUCAGCUGACUGUAGUUGUUUGUUCUGUGCAGUGUGUCGGAGACGGCGGCUUGAGGUGUGUGCAUGCGUAGUUAGUUGUUUUGCUGACUGGUUCGAGUUUGGUUAUUUGUUGCCUGUUCAUGCAGGCAGGUCUGGUAGUAGCUCGAAUUUGUUCGGCUGGCGACUGCGUGUGUGGCAUUUAUUU
RNAcentral lists this ribosomal RNA (872 nucleotides) under Haematoloechus pulcher. RNAcentral describes it as "eukaryotic LSU rRNA". It matches the Rfam family "Eukaryotic large subunit ribosomal RNA", at positions 100 to 614 of the family's 3401-position model. The record is from RNAcentral. Lineage: Eukaryota; Metazoa; Platyhelminthes; Trematoda; Plagiorchiida; Haematoloechidae.